GGGGGCGUAGCUCAGUUGGUUAGAGCGCCUGCCUGUCACGCAGGAGGUCGACGGUUCGAGCCCGUUCGUCCCCGCCA
Molecule: transfer RNA, 77 nt
Filed under: Candidatus Margulisiibacteriota bacterium
Lineage: Bacteria; Bacillati; Candidatus Margulisiibacteriota
Description: tRNA-Asp
Rfam family: tRNA
About the family: Transfer RNA (tRNA) molecules are approximately 80 nucleotides in length. Their secondary structure includes four short double-helical elements and three loops (D, anti-codon, and T loops). Further hydrogen bonds mediate the characteristic L-shaped molecular structure. tRNAs have two regions of fundamental functional importance: the anti-codon, which is responsible for specific mRNA codon recognition, and the 3' end, to which the tRNAs corresponding amino acid is attached (by aminoacyl-tRNA synthetases). tRNAs cope with the degeneracy of the genetic code in two manners: having more than one tRNA (with a specific anti-codon) for a particular amino acid; and 'wobble' base-pairing, i.e. permitting non-standard base-pairing at the 3rd anti-codon position.
Source: RNAcentral